GGGCCCAUAGUAUAGUGGUAAAAUGCCGCAAUGGCAUUGCGGAGUCGAGGGUUCAACUCCCUCUGGGUCCACCG
RNAcentral lists this transfer RNA (74 nucleotides) under Candidatus Nealsonbacteria bacterium RIFCSPHIGHO2_01_FULL_43_31. RNAcentral's name for it is "tRNA-Ala". It matches the Rfam family "tRNA". Rfam says of the family: Transfer RNA (tRNA) molecules are approximately 80 nucleotides in length. Their secondary structure includes four short double-helical elements and three loops (D, anti-codon, and T loops). RNAcentral also lists the same sequence under 2 other names. The record is from RNAcentral. Lineage: Bacteria; Candidatus Nealsoniibacteriota.